This 250-nucleotide long non-coding RNA is filed under the name Gallus gallus (chicken). Lineage: Eukaryota; Metazoa; Chordata; Aves; Galliformes; Phasianidae. The record is from RNAcentral.
CCUGAUGAUGGUGUGCAUGCCCCGCACCUGCGGUGUGUUCUCCAGCACGCUCAGCGUCGCCGGCAGUGGUUGCCCCUGGUGGGCUGAGGCCAGAGCUGCCCUGACAGUGAUUUCUCGCUUCUCCAGCUGGCUGUGCACGUGCUGCACGAUGAGGUCCAACGCCACCGAGUUCUCCCCGCCCCGGGGCACCACGAUGUCCGCCACCUGCACGCUGGGCUCGAUGUACUGCUCGAAGGCCGGCUUCACAAAC